GCACCAAGUUAGGGCAUGCAUAUAUUGCUGCACGAUAAUUUAAGUAUAAGACAUAUCUAAAACACAAUGCAAUACAGAGGACUUAUCUAAAACAUGUGUCUUACUAUAUUCAUUACACCAAUCAAUUAUUCAAUAAAUUAAAUUGACUAAUUAGUCAGUCCUCAGUCUCGAGCAUAGAGACAAGACAUAAUAACUUCAUCAAGAGACAUGUCUUAGAUUUUUUUUACAUUUAUCACCUUAGACGCGUCUGAAGACACAGCUCAAAACACACAUUAUAUAUGCUCUUAAUAUCAUUUGAUGCAUUAUGAAAUAUAUUUUCAUGAUUUGUUUUUUUCUUUUAUGCAGUAGAGCUAAUUUUUCUACGUGUUAAUUUAUUUUCCAGUAGGGGCUAAUCUCCUCCCCACCCCACUCCCUGAUCCUUAAAAAGCACUGCCAUGUAUAUCUGCCGCCAAAUUUUGUCACGAUCAUGGCGAUGCCUUCUGCUCAAGUUCUAUGGGCAGUCCGUGCAGCGGCGAUGGCAUGGGGUCCCUGGCGAAGGUAUCGUUCUUGCAGCAGAGCUUCCACCUAAACCGCCUGACAAGGUAAUGCAUCGUCACCAGCGUCUCGAUCCUGGCGAACUCCAUGCCGACGCAGAUCCUCGGACCCCCGCCGAACGCGACGAACGAGCACGGCGGCGCCGAUGCCGCCGACUGGUUCUCGAACCGGGACGGGUCGAACUUUGCCGGCUCGUGGAAGAUGCCCGUGUCCAUGUGCGUCACGCUCGCCGCCCAGAACACCUGCCAUCCUUUUGGGAUGAGGUAGCCGUCGAACUCGAUGUCCUGCAUCGCUCGCCGGAAGUUGCCGAAGAUGGGAGGCACCAAGCGAAGGGUCUCCAGCGCGACGCGCCACGUGUACUUCAUCUUCGCCAGGUCCUCCCAGUCCAGGGUCUGGCCGUCGCCCUUGUUCUUUGCGAUCUCGUCGUGCUCUGCGUCGCCACCGGUGGCAGCUGUCAUCUCAAAGCAUAGCGCUGACGACGUGGGAAGGGUGCGUUCUAGUUGGGUUUCUCACCUUGGACCAUGGCGGCGAGGGUGUCCGGGUCGUUGGCGAGGUGGCGGACCAUGAACGUCAUGAGAAUUGACGACGUGUCGUGACCGGCGACGAGGGCCACCAUGGAGUUGUCCACGAUCUCCUCCUCGCUCAGCAGCCGCGCGCCGCUGUGGUCGGUCAGACUGAGCAGGCACGCGAUGAGGUCGCUGCUACGGGAGGCCUCGCCCCUUUCCAGCUUGGCCCUGGUCUCCCGCGCGAUCCCCGCGAUCAGCCGGCGAGCCCUGGCGCUGGCCCUGAGGCUCCGGCUGAACGCCGUGAACGGCAGGUUCACCGGGACGGCCCAUAUGCCAUCCAUGACGCGGGCGAAGUCGCCCGCGAGGGCGUCCUGGAGCGGGCUCCGCUCGAGGCCGAAGAGCAGCAGGGAGAUGAUGUCGAACGUGAGCCUCUUCAUGUGCGGCAUCACCGUGACGGUGCAGCGGCCGGCCCAGCACUCGUCGAGGUGGCGCCGAACCUCGCCGUCGAUCUUGCCCACGUACAGCCUCAGCAUGUCCGGCUUGAGGAACUCGACCAGCGCGCCGCGGAUCCGCUUGUGGUCGGCGCCCGUGAGCUCCAGGAUGCUCUUGUCCCCCAGGAUCCGCUGCACUGACCGAGGCUGCUGCAUCGCUAAGGCGCUGCUGAAGAAGAUGAACCUGUUGGCCGCCGACCCCGCGACGAGCACCGUCGGCCUGCCGAACAGCGACAGCUUGGACACCGGACCGUACCGGUGUAUCCGGUCCAGGAUCCACCGCUCGGCAGUGUUGGCGCGCAUGGCGCGGAGAAGACCGAUGCUCUGGCCGAUCACCGGCAGGCCAAGGGAGCCCGGCGGCAGCUUGGCCGCGGCCGGCCGCCAUGGCGUCUUUCCCCUCUUUAGGAGAUGGAGGAGCACGGGCAAGGCGACGGCGAUAAGCGCUAGGACAAGAGAAGAAUCCAUUGGAGAUGUCAGAUGUUGGUGGUGCACACUGCACAGCAGCAGGCUGUUAUGCUUUGUGUAUGUGGUUUAUUUAUUUAUGUGUAUGGGAUUUGUCUUCGAAUUUUUCUGCAAUGUUGUUCCUGGAUGCGAGGAAGUCAAGAGCAUCGCAUGCGCGGAUGCCG
This 2157-nucleotide unclassified non-coding RNA is filed under the name Zea mays. RNAcentral's name for it is "misc RNA Zm00001eb322800". The record is from RNAcentral. Lineage: Eukaryota; Viridiplantae; Streptophyta; Magnoliopsida; Poales; Poaceae.